GUGCGUGCCGGGCUGUCCCGGCUGAGCAGUCCCGCGGCGGGGCCCGGCCUGCCCGCCCCUUGCCCGGCCUGCCCGGCCCUUCCCCAGCACUGCCCCUGCCCGGCCUGCCCGCCCCUUGCCCGGCCCUUCCCCGGCGCUGCCCCUUCCCCGGCCCUGCCCCGCGUCCCCGCCCCUUCCUCCCGGCCGGCUCUCGGGUGCUGCCUGCGGCGCCGCCGCUGCCCUGGGCGCCGGGACGCGGCGGGUCCCUCCCCCGGAGCCGCCCAGGCACCUCCCUCGGGCCGCCGCGGUGAGUCACGACGGAGGAGGAGGCGGCGGCUCCGCUCGGCUCCGCUCCGCUGCUCUCGCCCGCCCGUGCCGAGCGCGCCCCGCCGCCGCCGGAGCGCCGGGGCCGCGGGCCCCGCACCAGAGCUGCGCCCUGUCCAUGAGCUUCCAUUGGCACGAGAGAGCAGAGGGAGCAGAACUAGAGGUGAGAAGACAUCAAAGAUCAGCAAAUUAACCAAAACCCAUUAGUUAGUACUGGAAUGAGGAGAACACUCUCCUGACUCUCAGAUUUAUUUUCAGCCUUAGUGUUGAGGAAGCAUUAUAUAACAAAUGCUCGAAAAAGUGAGGAAAGCUCAUUCUUGUUUCUGCUCACUGCUGGUGAUCUGACAGAACCCUGCCGAGCUUCUGUAGGGUUUAAAUGUCAGUCUGAAUUCAGAAAGUGGAGUCAUACUUCUUGCUUUUCAGUAAAUGCAUCCAAGGUUUUACAAGUAUCAAAUCUGCCAAGCCUAUUUCUGUUUUCAAAAAUAUAGAUAUAAUUAGUCAUGAUAUUUAAAAACAAACAAGACAGCCUAAAAAUCUCAAAAAACCCCUCUAAUAAUUUCAACUUCUUGCAUUAUUGGAAUUACUGUGACUGACUAAAUGAGCUACUGAUUGGGGAACAGAGGUGGAGUCAGUAAAUUUGUACAACCAUUCCACUUGUCUCAGGAUGUUCUGUUUUAUUCUAUGCAAAUACACGGACCAGGAAUUUAUUUGAUUUUUCACCAAGUCCAUUUUCUCUGUGUUAUAAGGGCAGCUAAAAAAUAUGGAAACAACUUAGGUAAUCAACUUUGUUUGUGACCAUGACCAAGCUCAGAAACCUUCUGACUCAGUUUAUCCUUCCAUAAAAUUAGUUGACUACUUCACAUGAAGGUGGAGAUGUUUAAUUAAAGUGUAAUUGUUUUGCCUCUGAACUCAUCCAGGUCCUGAUUCAAUGCACAGUGAAGUCAGUGAGGAGCUUUUAAUUAAUUUCCUUGAGCUUUAAAUAAGUACACAUGGACGUGCACCCUUAAAGGAAAUGUGACCUAAAUUUUUACAGCAGAAUUGCUGUAAAGGAGGAAUAUAAAUCCUGAAACAACUUCAGGUAAACUACUGAAGGAAGGCUUUUUGUAGAACUGAGGAGGGAAUAGUGCAGCUGCAGGGAUCUCUGGUGCCUGUUGCCAUUUUAAUGUAAUUUUAAUGGAGUUUCCUAACUUUGAGUGUGUUGGAUCUUAUGUGGGAAACUGGAAAUUUCUUUGUGCCUUGGCAGCUUGCUCAGUUGGUUGGGGGAGGCAGUAUCAGACUUCAAGAUAAACACAGUUAACUGAAUGUUUAUGCAAAACCAAUCAGCAAUAACACUUACAAUAUAAUUAACUUCAAGAGUUGAUGCCAAAUUGAGAAAAAUAGGAGCAUUCAUGUCUUCUUAGCUGCCUUUUUUCAGGAAUGUCUGUAGAUGCCAAAUAAUACUCGUAGGUUUAUGUGGAAUUCGUGAAAGGUUUUGCUUAACUUCAGAGGUCAGAAACAUCAGGUUUUGCUAAACAGAACUUUUAUUGCUGAAAUCUUGGUCAGCAGCUACAAUGAGCUUGGUAAAAUAAGCCUUUCACAGUUCACAUCGAGAUGCAACCAUUCUGUUACUGUUUCACUGUCCAGAUUCUUAGUUCAGUAACUUUUAUAAUCUACAUUUUAAUCUUUAAAUAAAGUACUGUGUGUGGAGCA
This is a long non-coding RNA of Junco hyemalis (dark-eyed junco), 1992 nucleotides long. NCBI's taxonomy places the organism in Eukaryota, Metazoa, Chordata, Aves, Passeriformes, Passerellidae. The record is from Ensembl.